UAUGAAUUGAUUUCCUGAUGAGAAAAAAAAGGGUGUGCUGGCUGUUUGGUGCAACAAACUCUCUCAUCAAACCAGUUGGAUUAUGGUCUUAAUCACCAUCACGGAUGAAAGCCACCCAGAAGUCCAGGAACUCACCGUGCAAGUGCGAGGGAGCAUCCGCUCCAUGGGAACACCAGGGGUGUAACUGGGGAGACGCAUGUGCAAAAAGUAUGCAGAAUUAUGGCCUUGUAUGGUGGCUGCCCUUCAGUAGAAAUCCCAAAUGGUAAAUUCCUGAUUUAGACUUUACUAGGGGGAGGAGCAGUCCUAUAAAUUUGAAUGGCAUAAAGCCCACUUUUCCCUCCUUUCUCGCAAGUGAGUAAGCACAAAAAUCUAUGUCGUCCAAGUAGAAUAUUAACAAAUUCCCCCGUCUCUCCUCUCUCUCCAAACUUAAGAAUCUGUCAGACUAUCAAAGCAUUGUCAGUGCCAGUAAAACACAUCAUUAAGGUGAGUAAUUUUCCUGUUUACUUCAAACACUUUUUUUCCCAAACUCAAACCUGGGCAGGUCUGAUCAGGUAAGGCUUUGGAACGAGUAAAAGCGUCCCCAAUUUCUACAUAAACGCUGCAGGCCAUGGGGCAAAGACAAGUCUCAACUGCACACUCCACAGUAGUCAAGCUUCCCGGCGCCUCUGGUCUUGCCUCCCUCAUACCUUACAAGUAUCGUCAUGUCUCUUAACCUUCAAAUCUGUCUUAUCUGUAGCACACAUACACACAUGUACACACGCAUCCUACCUGUCUUCUUCCUUUUACCUGUAAUUAAUACAUAUAUACAUUCGCAACAAACCUUUCUAACAAUUCUUUCUUUCCUGUGCAUCUUUCAAAAUCAAUCAUUUUCCACUGUGAGCUCAUGGGUUGUUCAGGCAGAGUGCAAAAGAAAAAGCUUUUCUAAUUGUUAAAACUGCUCUAGCUCUUAAGUGAAGUGGAAAAGAGAUCUGAAUUCUCUAUUGUUUUUUCAAAGGAAACAGGUAUGGUCAUCUUAAAAAAACCAAUAUUUUCAGGACCUGCCCUUUAGGCAAAUAAAUAUAUUUAUUAUAUAAUUUGCAUUUUCCUUCCUACAAAAAAGGAAAUUAGAGAGAAUUGCUAUCUUUGACACCAGGUUAAUCCUUCAUCAUGGUUGGCUUCUAAGGAGACAGGAAGUUCAGUCUGAGAUUUAUCCUGUCUACAUAGACAGUUCAGUAGAAAUCCUUGAACUGACUUCCCAGUCUACAAAAUGGAGCACUAAAAAAAAAGUGUCCUUAGAUCACAGGGCUUUUGUGAAUCCUACUAUUUGCAAAGCACUUCACAUUUUUGGGGUGAGAGGUAUUGGUCUUGUUAUUAAGAUACUGCACUUACAUAAUCCUAUACAUGCUUACAAAUUGGGAAGGCAGAUUUCAAGACAAAGGUACAAUGUGUUUUUUACCCUAGAGAUAAACCUGUUACAUACUGAUCUAAAGCACGCACUUCUUCCUACUCAUCUGCCCUGUUUUCUUCCUGAUGCCAUCACUAUCAUCCCUACUGCUGCCCCCCACCAUACUUACUUUGAUUUAGGUAGAACAGAGAAAUGGAAAGAAAAUAAUGAGGGAUACAGGGCUUAAAUUGAGUGAAAGAUCAUAUUAUUUUCCUACCCCAGGGGCAGGAAUGAAGAGGACAGAGUAAAGGAACCAGGAAUGGGGGCGGGCCUUAGCAAAUCGGAUCCAGUUUAAUUUCUGCCAAUGGCAAAUACAGGAAGACCCAGCCCACCUUUGCCCUAGCUCCCUUGAUCUCAUUUGAAGCAAUUAAAUUUGGGCAGGGAAAAAUGACAGCUAUAAAACACAGAUACAAAACAGUGAAAGUCAAGAUACUCGUAGGAAGGCCUCUUCAUUCAAGGGUCAUUCAUUCCUGAGUUUAUAUCACAGCUUGGCUAUUUAUUUGUUAGAUGACUUUAGGCCUAGAGUGGUAAGUAACUGCAUCUAUAAAAUAUAAAUAUGAAUCACUUACUUUGCAGAACUGUGGUAUGAAUCAGUUACCAUAAUGUUAAGUAUCCUGUGGGUUCUUGGUCUGAUGCUCAAUAAAUGGUAACUACCAAUUUUAUCUCCAUCAUCUAAAUUUUAGAGUUGGUCAGCAUUUGCCAAAUCCUGACACCAUAAUGCCAUACACAGGAGAAUAAGCAUAAUUGGCUAUACUGCCACAGGUAAAAAAAUUAAGUCAAACAUUAUGUUUUAUUAGAAAAUGAAGGAAGGAACAAACAACUUUUUAAAUUUUACCUGUCUUUGCUAGAUCAUUACUGCAAUCUCUGGUUUUCACUGGUAAACUGUGUCCAGCUCCUAUUGUACCUGAGCCUUACAUUGAGGGAAGUUGGCCCUGCACAGCCUCCUUGGAUUCAGGUCUCAGGCUCUAACAGCUGUCCGUCUGCCAGUCCCUGGGGCCGACUAUAAGAAGAGAGCCCAUCAAGCCCUAUGCCCAGAAGUCAAAGCUAACUUUCCUGUUUGCAUUCGCCAGUCACUUAGUAAAGAGAAGGAAAAACCUGAGUGUUUGCAAUGCCUGAGGAUCCAUCUCCCCUAAGGAGAGCAUGGUGACUUUCACAGCAAACCAAGUUCCCGGCCAAAACCCAAAAUGUCAGCCCGGUAUAUGUCAUAAAUUAAAAUCUACCAUUUAUUGGCCCAAUGCUUGCUUCUCUAAUUACAGUGCUUCUGUAAUAGUGAAAUAUGAUUAGGAAAGGGGAGGGGGUCAAACAGUGAAGAUUAGGAACAGACUCACGCUGCUAUUAUAAAAUGAGUACAUGAUCAGAAAACGGUCCAAACUCCACCAUCUAGCAGCCUGGAGGCACAGGCUCCCCACUUUACCGGUGACCUUUUGUGCCCUCACGCUCACCAGAAAGAUAAGAAUAACUACACUGCACUUGGAAUGGUGUCGUGAAGCUCAAAUGGUAUCACGAAAGUGAAAGCUCUUCUUGUAUUAUCAAUGUAUAAAUAAAACUAUUACUUCAAAAAUAAGAAAUAGCUUCAAAGAGAACUGUGGAACUUUCUACUUACAUUAUCCUCUGUAAUAGAUUCAUAUUUUUUAGUCAAUUGAUUGGAUGGAAAAUUAAUAAUGAUGACUAAUCCAUGCAAGAGGUAAUAUUUAAUAGGCACAGAAAAAACUCAGAAGCCACGGAACCUCAAGCAGCAAAUUUUAAUGACAAUCUUCCACUUCAAAAUUCUAGGAUUUUUGUUGUUGUCACAGAGGACAAGCCUAUUCUCACCUAACUAGACUGUGAAGCCGCUGUCAGGGGACGCUGGCAGCGCUGGAGCUGGGAAGGCAAAGCACACGGACAGCAGGAAGACAAGCUGCUCCUCUGAGUCAGCACUUCCAGCGCAUCCCAUCCAGAAAAAGCUGCUCUUCAUUUGUCUUCCCUGCCAAAAGACUCUGAACUUCUAGAUGGAGACCUUGCCUUACCCAUCUUUCACUGCAGUGGAAAACUGAAGCCCAAAGGAACAGAAUGGCCUGGCCAAAACCAUCAAGCCAGUCUCUGGUUCCCUGGGCCGAGCUUUUCCUUCUUUGGUCAAUAAACGUCCUCCCAGAUAUUGCCAAUGCAAGGCAGACCAGAGAAGAGGAGUGUUUCUUGCAUCUGGUCAGCUACAGACAUGUGGGUUGUCUCCAGGAGGAUAAAUAGCCAAGAACAAUCCUAAGGGAAGACAGCAAAGCACAGCACCCCGUACCCCCCAGGUGCGUAAGGAGUGUUGUCAUUUGACGUGUUUGGCACUGCAGUCCUGAUGAGAGGCGGUUCUAAAACAACGGCGUAGGAAAUGAAACAUUAGGAGCCAACACAUCACCUACGGCGAGUGGGUUUCCAUCUCUGAAAUGGACACUGCCAAUCCACUCCCAACCUCACACUCUUCUCCAUUUCCCCUUGCCCUUAUCUCUUAUCUGGUGAUUACGACAGCCUCCCCACAGCUCUCGGUCUUUAGACUUCUCACAUCGACACUGCUACCAGUUAUCUUCCUCCACCAGAGUAAGAUGUCACCCUUCUGCGCCCCCUGCACCUGCCCAUGCUCAAAGCUCUUCCGUAGCUCCUCAGUGCCUGCAAGACUGGAGCCAAACUCCCUAGGGUGAUUCAGAGCUCCUCGUUUUCUGGCCUUGGGGACUUCUUUCCAGCCUCAUUUCCUGCUCUUCCCACAUUCCUGCAAACAUGUGUGAUCCGGAUCUACCAGGCUGUUUCCUCCUGCUAGACAUCCACAUGCUCAUGGCUCCAUGCCUUUAUUCACCAGGAUCCUCUACUUGGAAUGUCUUUUCUCUUUUCCCCAUUGCAAGCCCCUGCUCAUCUACAGAGAGACAAAUUUAAAUGUUAAGUCCUCUGCAAAGCUGGGACUUAUUCUGUUUUCUGUGUCGCAUCACACUUUGUACAGACGAGAUAUUAUCUGACAAAUAUUUGUGUACCCAUUAUAUGUGCCAGCACUAAGAAACAGAGAUGAAAAGAAAAGGCUAGUCCCUCUGAGUUCAUACGGUAAGUGUGGGGCAGACAUGAUGUACGCUGUGAUUCCGAAUAUAUGUACAAAGGGUAAUGAAUGGAAGAGCGGGAACUCCUGAGUGUGUGUGUGUGUGUGGUGGCGGAGGGUGGGGGGGUGUUGGCAGGGAAUAUGGCAAGGAAAGGCUUCCUUUUCAAUUAAGGCUCUUAAAGGAUGAGUGGGAGUCUGCCUUGGCAGACUAGGAGGGUGGUGGGUCGGGGAACAUUCCAGACAGAUUAUGGCACCUGUCACACUGAAUUACAGCUACUUUCAUCAGUUUUCCCUGAUACAUUGUGAGCUCUUUGAAGAAGGGCUAAUGUACCUAUCUCUAAUAUGAUUACCCUACAGCUUCUAGCUCUAAUGAUAACUAGCAUGAAUUAUCAAGGGCCCGCUCGGUGGUACCACUGGACAACGGGCUUCUCACAUUGCACUCUCCACAACCUGCAAGUGGGAUUAUUUACACCUGAAAGAGGAGGAAAUUCGGUCUCAGAAGAGUCUGCUCACUUCUUUAGUCAACCCUCCUAGCAAACUGUGUAGUUUUUCUUCAAAGUGCACCUUCUGGUGCUUAAGUAAUAUGCACAUUGAAAUUAAAAGUGUGGUUCAGUGAACUGCAGUAGACGAGGCCUAAUAAUAUGGGGUCCUCAAUUCAGCUUCAACAAAGGUACCAGGGGACAUGUCAUUUGAUACAAAAUAUAGAGAGCAAGAGAUGGAGAAAUCCUAUGAAAGCCAUGAUAAGCAUACACUUGCUCAUCCCUGUUUGGGUGGGUAGUAAUUCUAGAACUUCAGAGAAGAUAAAAUUUAACAUAUUUCAAGAAAAAUGUUUAAUUCUGCCUUUUCCACCUAAUAACUGAGCUCCCCACAUAAGUGGUAUUUCUUAAAACUUACUGAUAAAGAAUACUCUUUCUCUUUUAACUGUGGCAUUUCGCACAGAUCUGUAUAGUGUAUUCUGUUAAUAUUUCCCUCAAAAAUUGUAUGUGACUUGAUGUGACAAGAAAAGCUAUAAAGAAAAAAAAGAAAAAUAUGCACAGUCUCCUUUCUUAGAGAGAUCCACUGUUACCAUUUUGGUGUCCCUAAAACCAUUUUUAAAGUAGGUAUGAACAAAAGGGAAAUUCAGUUCCUGGAUGUGAACUAAUAAUGCCUUUUCCAAGAAACUGAUCAAAUAUAAUCAACCCAGAUUCAUGUAAGUGACAAAAUGUUUCUGAAUUAUCCAAGAUAGAAGACAGUGUCUGUCUUUGAUGCAUGCAAUAUUUACAGAUGCCUCAGAAAGCACGAAAAGAUUAGGUUUUAUGGGCAAGAAACUUCAUUGUACUAAUUUCCCUUUUAGAAGCUCAGGAGAUUCAUUUGACUGCAAAGAAACUACGUUUUCCUCUUUGGAAGUUUCCUUACUUUUUUUAUUAUCAUGCCCUAUCCUUUCUGUGCUUUCUUUGCCCUUUUCUCAUGUAGCUCAUGCCUUUGGCAGAAUGAAAAAGAAAGAAGGGAGAAAGUGAGGGAAAGCAGGAGUCACCCAGGAGCGGUGGGGAAGAACAGUGGGUCUCGGGAACUCUGCACACUUGUCAUAAAUUCCAGCACAUACCCUCAAGCUUCUCCCCAAAAGACCUGCCAAGAAGUAGAUUCUUGCCACAACAUUUUGCUACUUUUUAAAGCACAUAGAUUUAAGAAGGGAUAAAAGAAGCAGGCUUCUCACUAUCUCUCCCACAGGGCAUUUCCUAUUUUAUAUAUAUGUAUAUAUAAAAGACAAAGGACAGAGACGGGUAGAGACAAUUAAAAAUCCUCUCGGUUAUUGAUGUCAAUAGUAUUAAAGCUCCUUCUCUCUCACUGACUUCUGUCUCCCUUUCUGUUGUUUGUUUUUUGAUCCAGUUUGGAGCAAUACCUCCAAGUAUUUGGGAACAAAUAUCUAGGUAUUUCUCUUGUUGUUCUUUGCACGAAAUCUCUAUUGCAAACUCAGAAACUUUGGAAAGCGUAACUUAUUUGUGCUUAUCGCUUAAUUGGUGGAUUCAUGGACUAUUCCUGAUAUUCCAACUAUUUUUAUAUCCACUUCAUAUUGACAACUGUUUUAAUACCUCUUAGCUUAAUGCUGUCACUACCUUCAGGGUAUAUACCUAACCAACAGGCUAUUCAUACUUCGAUUGUUAUAUGAAGAGAUAACAUGUUUAGGGGAGCCCUCUAAAACUUUACAAAUCUUUUUAAAAUUAGACAUGUUUGAACAGGCAAACAAGUCUUGGCCCCAUCGCAUGCAGAGUGGGUUCUUUGCAGAUGUCUUCCUGCAAGCUACAUCUUGCCUGUUACAAGCACAUUCAUCUCCCAAACUCAUCAUUUCACCUGCUUCGCCUAAAGCAAAGCAAAACACACAGACAAAUCACAGGAUUUAAAAAAUAUUAUUAUUAACCCUUAAAGAAACUCUUACACUCAUUCACUAUCCUUACAGAGGAGAAGAACCAAAUAUCAUAUUUCCAAAAUGCCACUAUCUGAUGAUUGCUCAGUUAGCUUUUUCGCUGUGUGAGGCAAGGACUGUGGGGGAGUCUGACCUGUGUCUUCAUUCUCUUGCCUAUGACAGGACGCCCAGGUUGGCACUGACUCACAAAGCUGGAGACAUUAGCUCAUGGCAAUGAUUCAGUGCUGAGAAUUCUGAUGAAGGCUUCUCCCCUCUGGUGCUUCAAGGGGGAAAUCAGUCCCUGGAAGGUAUGACUUAUGACCCAGGCACAGAUGUUAAGACAUCUGUGAUCGAGUACUCUGAGAAAGGGGGCCACCCUCUUGAGAAAAUCCCUGUCUGCACGGGGACGUAUCUGCAGCACACCUGUUAGCCCUUCUCUACAAAAGCCCUUAUCACUUACAGCCAGCCAUUUCAGCAGUCCAGGAGAAGAGUGAAUUCUAUUCCACAGAAAGCUAGGGCUUCUCCUCAGGGGGAGAGGAAGGGCAGGAGGUCAAGUGUUAGUAGCUAGCAAGCUGGUGGCUUUUAUUCCAGAGGUGAGAGAGCACAGUAGGAAGUUUUGAAAAAGGUUGGAUAAGAAUCAUCUCAUUCAACCGGCACCUUCAGCUUGGGCCUCAGGUAAAAGGAUGUGAAUGUUAAUUUUGUAUGACAGGAAGCUGCAAGCAUUACCUAUGCAGUGGCAGGUGCAUGAGAGACUUCCUAGUUUAGAAAACAUUAGUGCCUCAUUAUCUUAUUUGAUCCUCACAACAGCCCUGGAGAGUAGGCAUCAUUCUCCUUUUCCCUUUCAAGAUGAGGAAAGUGAGGCACCAGGGAGGUUAAGGGAUUUGCAAAGGCCCCAGCUAGAAAAUGGCUGCCAACCCUUUAUUAAAAGAUCUCCUCUAGUAAGAGAAUUAACCACUUCAGCUCCUUCCCUGGCUGUCCAUCCCUCUUCCCUACCUCUCCUGGUAGCUCCUGGAAGCAGUGACUUCAGCAACCAGCUCUUCUCGCCCUCUCUCAUGUCUGUCUGUGCCACAUCACUGAGUAGCGUUCAGCCCCACCAUCCUGAUGUGUGCACUUUUCCAAACAGCUUCCCUUACUCCAGUCCCAUGCCAACCAAACUCUUGUAUGCUACUGAGUUGAUGGGCUUAAUAUACAGAUCUGGACAUGAUAAUUCCUGUGCUCAAAAAAUAUCCAAUAUGAGCACACUGACUGUGGGGUGUAGUCCAAAUGCAUUAACCUACCCAGCCUGAUUUGUCCUACCUUUUGAGCUUUCACGUCUGCAGUUCCCUAAGUAUGAGCACAGCUUCUGGCAGAAGAGUCGAGUUUCUGUCUCAGAACUAGCAUAGCAUGCUUGCCUCCAUGCUUUUACUCCACUGCCCUGUCUGGGAAGAAUGCUCUCCUCCCCACUUUCCCCAGCUGCCUAGCACACAGUAGGUCAGCUGCCCUCUUCCUCUUCUGGUCCAGCCACAAAGACUUCUCUUCUGGAUACACAGAAUUUUUUAUUCAAAGAGAACCUCAAAGGACACUUGAUUCAAUCUCUCAUCUAAAACUUGAGUCAGAGUCUCACCUCUAUUUCACACACUCCUGAGGCUGAGUUCUCACUAAAACUGGAGGCAGUGCAUUCCAUCCCUAUAGAACACUACCAUUCUUCACUUUCACGCUGGGAUCUGUGGCCUUGUGAUUUCCUCUCUUUGGUAGUAAUUGUGCCCUCUGGGGCAUCUAAACAAGUCCAGCAUGUGGGCAGUUACAGGAAAGCAAGCAAUAAAAGAGGAGCUUUGCACAAGCGAUUAACAGCUUCACACACUCAUAACAUGAUUUCUAUUUCUUUUGGGGUUGAGGCUGGAAAAGUACUUCUUCCAAUGUCCUCUCCUAGAGGAUAUCAAUUUUUCUCAAAAUUGUGCUCCUUAAAAAAGGUACUGUGUUUAAGGUACAUGCACACCAGAAAUAUACAGAGCAGUGUACCUGGGUGCCACUCAAAGCCACAACAUAAAUAUCCAUCUAUCUGGAAUUUCAUUCUUAAGACUAGUUUUCUUUUUUUUUUUGGUAUCAUUAAUGUACAAUUACAUGAGGAAUAUUAUGUUUACUAGACUCCCCCUAUCACCAAGUUCCCCCCACAUACACCAUUGCAGU
This is a long non-coding RNA of Manis pentadactyla (Chinese pangolin), 9015 nucleotides long. RefSeq lists it as uncharacterized. The record is from RefSeq and is a predicted model, not a curated record. NCBI's taxonomy places the organism in Eukaryota, Metazoa, Chordata, Mammalia, Pholidota, Manidae. The transcript has 3 exons.